RNAcentral lists this ribosomal RNA (253 nucleotides) under uncultured bacterium. Its description in RNAcentral is "partial 16S ribosomal RNA". It matches the Rfam family "Bacterial small subunit ribosomal RNA", at positions 524 to 776 of the family's 1533-position model. The record is from RNAcentral.
UACGUAGGGUGCAAGCGUUGCCCGGAUUUAUUGGGCGUAAAGGGCUCGUAGGCGGUUUGUCACGUCGGGCGUGAAAACUCAGGGCUCAACCCUGAGCGUGCGUUCGAUACGGGCAGACUAGAGGUAUGCAGGGGAGAACGGAAUUCCUGGUGUAGCGGUGGAAUGCGCAGAUAUCAGGAGGAACACCGGUGGCGAAGGCGGUUCUCUGGGCAUUACCUGACGCUGAGGAGCGAAAGCACGGGGAGCGAACAGG